AUAACGCUUUGGGGUGUUUUUGGUGAGAACAUAACUAUAUAACAAGGUUAAAACAUACAAAAAGUGAAUUUUGCAUGAUACAGCCCCUUUAAGGCUGAGGGGGUCUGAGUUUCAACAGAGCUGGACUUCCUGUCAGCCUGGCUAUGGUAUUAAAGAGGAACCUGGGGCUGCUCUGGUUUUCUUCUAUUCAGGAUGAAUAGUAGGCAGUUCCAGUUUUACGUAAAGUUUUUUUUAUAAGUUCACAGACUAUCUUUCCAGGCAGUACGAAAUACUUCUAGUUGUGUUAGAUGUCAUUUCCUCUCUCGUUUUCCAGCUGAUCUUUUUAAUGUUUGCAGUUGUUUGUUGUACCAUGGAGCUCGUCUCCUGAGGGUUCAUGAUAUUACCUUCAGGGGAGCAGCUGAGUCCAGUGUGGAGCAGAGUGAAGCGGCCGCUUCAUCUACGACUAACUCACCCUGAGUGGCGCUGAUACUGCUGCUAAUGCUAAUGCUAAUGCUAAUACUGCUCUCCACUGGGCCAACAGAUGGGAGUGAGGUUAAUAUUGAUGGAUCAUUUCCUUGAAUUUGGUCACAUUAUCCUCUGACAGACAUCUUCUGAGUUUAAGUUUUUUCCCAGGUACUUUAAAACCAGCUGAUGUAAACUCAAAUGAUAACAGGAAGUGAUCAGACAGUACAGGGUUGUUAGUUGGUCAAUGUCAAUACCGUCGGUGAGAACAAGGUGGAGGGUGUGAUUAAAGUGAUGAGUAGGUUUAUUCACCUUCUGUGAAAAACCAGUUGUAUCAAGUAGUGAACUGAAAGCAAUGUUAAGGCUGUCAGUGUCAACAUCUAUAUGAAUAUUAAAGUCUAAACUACAAUGAUUUCAUCUGAACUUAAAGGUCCCAUAUUAUGCUAAGUUUCAGCAAGUUCAAAUGGGUCUCAGAGGUCCAAUACCAGUCUAUUUGAUGUUUUUUGCCUAAAAAUCCAGUUUUUUCCUGGACUUCAGCCAGCCUGAAGUCCCCUCUCCUGAGCUCUGCUGAGAACAGGCCGUUUCUGGUCUGUAGCUUUACAUUCUAAUGAGCUUCUCUGACCACGCCUCCUCCACACCAUAUAUGGGAGAGGGCGUGGCUCUGCUCUGGUAUCACGCUGUAAUGUUGACACACGCAGAGCCGCAUGUCUGCUACGAACUCUGUAGUUCAGCCAGACCAGUUUGAGCCAGAGUCUGACCCAGAAGGAGAGGCCCCUGAAGAACUUCACUCUCUGCGGCUGCAGCAGGACGGUUCUGAACGGUGCACCUGUGGAAACUGCUACCAUCCCCACAGAAGCUGAGAAUAUCUGCUGUUUGGAGAUACCACAGGUCACCAGACGGCUGCGGGAGGUGGAGGAGCAGCCGUCCUGUAUGGUGGACCAUCCUGGGUUGGAGCCUGUUUGCCUCAGUGUGUACUCUCUGCAGAAAGCCUGCCAAAUGUAUGGUGCUGACUGUGGUCCUUUACAGCUGAGAGGAAUACACCAGUAUGUUAUGCUUUGUAUCUAAAUCAAAAAUGUAGUCUUACUUUCCUUCUUAAUCUUACAUAAUCUUACAAUUGUAACAAAACAAGAUGAAUGUGAAUUGAUUUUGGGUUUUUUUUUAAACUGCGUAUUUCUUCCAAAAGCCGUUGGUCUGUACGUCAUUCAUGUAAUCACAGAGUCACUUCUGUAGACAAGCAUUUAUUGACAUCACACACUUUACAUAUAACCCACAACAUGGGGCCAGCCUAUGACUGGCAAUGACCUCCUCUGUGUCAGGCUGCUGAACUGUGCAGUGAGGUCCUCUGGAACGGGGAUGGCCAGGACUGCCUCUGUGUGUGGAGCCAGGACUGCCUCUGUGUAUGGAGCCGGAUCCUUGAAGAUUUCUUCAAAAAUGAGGUCCAUCAUCUCAGCAACAUACCCUGUUUCAGAAAAGACAUGCACAAAGAAACUGUUGUUUUUGUUUUGUUUUUUUAAUUUUACAAUGACAGAGUUCUUUCCUAAAUACGUCCUGGUGUUUGGCACUUUAUCUAAUUUACUGUUUUCACAAGGUUGUUUUUGGUGUGUUGAAGGUUCUUUCCAAAACACGUUUCGGUUAAAAAAAUUAAUAAAAGAAUAUGACACUUACGGAAUGUUGGCUCUGUCUUUAGUUGUUUUGCUCUGCAUCCUCCCUUCAUGGCCUUUGGAAAGUGGACCUUGAAGAGGGGCACACCUUCGUUUUGGCUUGUGGUCGGUUGGCGUUUUCAUUAUAACACAUGGCAGCCAGGUAGAGUCUGGAAGUACAGGAAAGAGAAAAUCAAAGACGUUAACGCUGACAGACACUUUUCGCUAGACACUCACACAAUUUCUAUGUAACCAGUUAUUUUACCUUUAAUUUCAGUGAAAUAUAAAUACCUGGAGAGUCUGCCCUCAUGUCGCCACAACGAUUACUUUGUCGUCCUG
Salarias fasciatus (jewelled blenny) is the source of this 2420-nucleotide long non-coding RNA. RefSeq lists it as uncharacterized. The transcript is spliced from 3 exons. The record is from RefSeq and is a predicted model, not a curated record. NCBI's taxonomy places the organism in Eukaryota, Metazoa, Chordata, Actinopteri, Blenniiformes, Blenniidae.